Molecule: long non-coding RNA, 412 nt
Filed under: Brassica napus (rape)
Lineage: Eukaryota; Viridiplantae; Streptophyta; Magnoliopsida; Brassicales; Brassicaceae
Description: long non-coding RNA (BNAP_LNC021446)
Source: RNAcentral
CAAAUCUCCAAAAUAGCACAUUUCUAAGUUUAUGUCACAAAAAUAGCCCUCAAAAACUAAAAUGACAAAAAAUAGCAAUUUAUAUUUUGAAAAAUUUAAAUUUUUUUUAUUUUUCAAAAUUUGAAAUCUUAUCCCAAAACCCCACUCCCCAGCUCUAACCCUUAAAACCUAAAUUCUAAACCCUAAAACCUAAAUUCUAAACCCUAAACCCUAAAUCCUAAACCCUAAACCCUAAACCCUAAAUCCAAAACCCCACCUUUUAACUCUAAACCCUAAACCCUAAACCCCACCCCUAAACUCUAAACCCUAAACCCUAAACUCUAAACUCUAAACCCUAAACUCUAAACCCUAAACCCUAAACCCUAAACCCUAAACCUUAAACCCUAAACCCUAAACCCUAAACCCUAAACUC